GAUGAACGCUGGCGGCGUGCCUAACACAUGCAAGUCGAACGGAGUCCAGCCUUUAAGACCUUCGGGUCAAAGAGGGGAAGACUGAGUGGCGGACGGGUGAGUAACACGUGGGCAACCUGGCUCAUAGAGGGGGAUAACAGAGAGAAAUUUCUGCUAAUACCGCAUAAGCACACACUGCCGCAUGGCAGAGGGUGAAAAGAGAAUCGCUAUGAGAUGGACCCGCGUCUGAUUAGCCAGUUGGCAGGGUAAGAGCCUACCAAAGCGACGAUCAGUAGCCGAUCUGAGAGGAUGAACGGCCACAUUGGGACUGAGACACGGCCCAAACUCCUACGGGAGGCAGCAGUGGGGGAUAUUGCACAAUGGGGGGAACCCUGAUGCAGCGACGCCGCGUGAGUGAAGAAGUAUUUCGGUAUGUAAAGCUCUAUCAGCAGGGAAGAUAAUGACAGUACCUGAGUAAGAAGCCCCGGCUAACUACGUG
Molecule: ribosomal RNA, 478 nt
Filed under: uncultured bacterium
Lineage: Bacteria
Description: partial 16S ribosomal RNA
Rfam family: Bacterial small subunit ribosomal RNA
Source: RNAcentral